This 152-nucleotide ribosomal RNA is filed under the name Trichoderma paraviridescens. RNAcentral's name for it is "5.8S ribosomal RNA". Lineage: Eukaryota; Fungi; Ascomycota; Sordariomycetes; Hypocreales; Hypocreaceae. The record is from RNAcentral.
AAUCAAAACUUUCAACAACGGAUCUCUUGGUUCUGGCAUCGAUGAAAACGCAGCGAAUGGGUAAGAAUAUGAGUUUGCAAAUCGGGAUCACGAUCUUUGACUUGAGGCCUUGGGCCCCCCAGUUUCGGGGGGAUCCGCUGUCCACAAAGCUC